UGGUUUGACCUCGGAUCAGGUAGGGUUACCCGCUGAACUUAAGCAUAUCAAUA
This 53-nucleotide ribosomal RNA is filed under the name Scopulariopsis crassa. Its description in RNAcentral is "partial 28S ribosomal RNA". Lineage: Eukaryota; Fungi; Ascomycota; Sordariomycetes; Microascales; Microascaceae. The record is from RNAcentral.